Molecule: ribosomal RNA, 1437 nt
Filed under: uncultured organism
Description: SSU rRNA
Rfam family: Bacterial small subunit ribosomal RNA
Source: RNAcentral
UUCUACAGGCUUAACACAUGCAAGUCGAGGGGCAGCAUGGUCUUAGCUUGCUAAGGCCGAUGGCGACCGGCGCACGGGUGAGUAACACGUAUCCAACCUGCCGUCUACUCUUGGACAGCCUUCUGAAAGGAAGAUUAAUACAAGAUGGCAUCAUGAGUCCGCAUGUUCACAUGAUUAAAGGUAUUCCGGUAGACGAUGGGGAUGCGUUCCAUUAGAUAGUAGGCGGGGUAACGGCCCACCUAGUCUUCGAUGGAUAGGGGUUCUGAGAGGAAGGUCCCCCACAUUGGAACUGAGACACGGUCCAAACUCCUACGGGAGGCAGCAGUGAGGAAUAUUGGUCAAUGGGCGAGAGCCUGAACCAGCCAAGUAGCGUGAAGGAUGACUGCCCUAUGGGUUGUAAACUUCUUUUAUAAAGGAAUAAAGUCGGGUAUGCAUACCCGUUUGCAUGUACUUUAUGAAUAAGGAUCGGCUAACUCCGUGCCAGCAGCCGCGGUAAUACGGAGGAUCCGAGCGUUAUCCGGAUUUAUUGGGUUUAAAGGGAGCGUAGAUGGAUGUUUAAGUCAGUUGUGAAAGUUUGCGGCUCAACCGUAAAAUUGCAGUUGAUACUGGAUAUCUUGAGUGCAGUUGAGGCAGGCGGAAUUCGUGGUGUAGCGGUGAAAUGCUUAGAUAUCACGAAGAACUCCGAUUGCGAAGGCAGCCUGCUAAGCUGCAACUGACAUUGAGGCUCGAAAGUGUGGGGUAUCAAACAGGAUUAGAUACCCUGGUAGUCCACACGGUAAACGAUGAAUACUCGCUGUUUGCGAUAUACGGCAAGCGGCCAAGCGAAAGCGUUAAGUAUUCCACCUGGGGAGUACGCCGGCAACGGUGAAACUCAAAGGAAUUGACGGGGGCCCGCACAAGCGGAGGAACAUGUGGUUUAAUUCGAUGAUACGCGAGGAACCUUACCCGGGCUUAAAUUGCAGAUGAAUUACGGUGAAAGCCGUAAGCCGCAAGGCAUCUGUGAAGGUGCUGCAUGGUUGUCGUCAGCUCGUGCCGUGAGGUGUCGGCUUAAGUGCCAUAACGAGCGCAACCCUUGUUGUCAGUUACUAACAGGUUCCGCUGAGGACUCUGACAAGACUGCCAUCGUAAGAUGUGAGGAAGGUGGGGAUGACGUCAAAUCAGCACGGCCCUUACGUCCGGGGCUACACACGUGUUACAAUGGGGGGUACAGAGGGCCGCUACCACGCGAGUGGAUGCCAAUCCCCAAAACCUCUCUCAGUUCGGACUGGAGUCUGCAACCCGACUCCACGAAGCUGGAUUCGCUAGUAAUCGCGCAUCAGCCACGGCGCGGUGAAUACGUUCCCGGGCCUUGUACACACCGCCCGUCAAGCCAUGGGAGCCGGGGGUACCUGAAGUGCGUAACCGCGAGGAGCGCCCUAGGGUAAAACUGGUGACUGG